UGCUUAACACAUGCAAGUCGAACGGAAAGGCCCUGCUUUUGUGGGGUGCUCGAGUGGCGAACGGGUGAGUAACACGUGAGUAACCUGCCCUUGACUUUGGGAUAACUUCAGGAAACUGGGGCUAAUACCGGAUAGGAGCUCCUGCUGCAUGGUGGGGGUUGGAAAGUUUCGGCGGUUGGGGAUGGACUCGCGGCUUAUCAGCUUGUUGGUGGGGUAGUGGCUUACCAAGGCUUUGACGGGUAGCCGGCCUGAGAGGGUGACCGGCCACAUUGGGACUGAGAUACGGCCCAGACUCCUACGGGAGGCAGCAGUGGGGAAUAUUGCACAAUGGGCGGAAGCCUGAUGCGGCAACGCCGCGUGCGGGAUGACGGCCUUCGGGUUGUAAACCGCUUUCGCCUGUGACGAAGCGUGAGUGACGGUAAUGGGUAAAGAAGCACCGGCUAACUACGUGCCAGCAGCCGCGGUGAUACGUAGGGUGCGAGCGUUGUCCGGAUUUAUUGGGCGUAAAGGGCUCGUAGGUGGUUGAUCGCGUCGGAAGUGUAAUCUUGGGGCUUAACCCUGAGCGUGCUUUCGAUACGGGUUGACUUGAGGAAGGUAGGGGAGAAUGGAAUUCCUGGUGGAGCGGUGGAAUGCGCAGAUAUCAGGAGGAACACCAGUGGCGAAGGCGGUUCUCUGGGCCUUUCCUGACGCUGAGGAGCGAAAGCGUGGGGAGCGAACAGGCCUAGAUACCCUGGUAGUCCACGCUGUAAACGGUGGGUACUAGGUGUGGGGUCCAUUCCACGGGUUCCGUGCCGUAGCUAACGCUUUAAGUACCCCGCCUGGGGAGUACGGCCGCAAGGCUAAAACUCAAAGGAAUUGACGGGGCCCCGCACAAGCGGCGGAGCAUGCGGAUUAAUUCGAUGCAACGCGUAGAACCUUACCUGGGUUUGACAUGGAUCGGGAGUGCUCAGAGAUGGGUGUGCCUCUUUUGGGGUCGGUUCACAGGUGGUGCAUGGCUGUCGUCAGCUCGUGUCGUGAGAUGUUGGGUUAAGUCCCGCAACGAGCGCAACCCUUGUUCACUGUUGCCAGCACGUUAUGGUGGGGACUCAGUGGAGACCGCCGGGGUCAACUCGGAGGAAGGUGGGGAUGACGUCAAGUCAUCAUGCCCCUUAUGUCCAGGGCUUCACGCAUGCUACAAUGGCUGGUACAGAGAGUGGCGAGCCUGUGAGGGUGAGCGAAUCUCGGAAAGCCGGUCUCAGUUCGGAUUGGGGUCUGCAACUCGACCUCAUGAAGUCGGAGUCGCUAGUAAUCGCAGAUCAGCAACGCUGCGGUGAAUACGUUCCCGGGGCUUGUACACACCGCCCGUCAAGUCAUGAAAGUUGGUAACACCCGAAGCCGGUGGCCUAACCGUUGUGGGGGAGCCGUCGAAGGUGGGACUGGUGAUUAGGACUAAGAC
Molecule: ribosomal RNA, 1435 nt
Filed under: uncultured organism
Description: partial small subunit ribosomal RNA
Rfam family: Bacterial small subunit ribosomal RNA
Source: RNAcentral